Molecule: ribosomal RNA, 497 nt
Filed under: uncultured bacterium
Lineage: Bacteria
Description: partial 16S ribosomal RNA
Rfam family: Bacterial small subunit ribosomal RNA
Source: RNAcentral
GACGAACGCUGGCGGCGUGCCUAAUACAUGCAAGUUGAGCGCUGAAGGUUGGUACUUGUACCAACUGGAUGAGCAGCGAACGGGUGAGUAACGCGUGGGUAAUCUGCCUUUGAGCGGGGGACAACAUUUGGAAACGAAUGCUAAUACCGCAUAAAAACUUUAAACACAAGUUUUAAGUUUGAAAGAUGCAAUUGCAUCACUCAAAGAUGAUCCCGCGUUGUAUUAGCUAGUUGGUGAGGUAAAGGCUCACCAAGGCGAUGAUACAUAGCCGACCUGAGAGGGUGAUCGGCCCAAUUGGGACUGAGACACGGCCCAAACUCCUACGGGAGGCAGCAGUAGGGAAUCUUCGGCAAUGGACGAAAGUCUGACCGAGCAACGCCGCGUGAGUGAAGAAGGGUGUCGGAUCGUAAAACUCCGUUGGUAGAGAAGAACGUUGGUGAGAGUGGAAAGCUCAUCAAGUGACGGUAACUACCCAGAAAGGGACGGCUAACUACGUG